AUUGAACGCUGGCGGCAGGCCUAACACAUGCAAGUCGAGCGGAGCGGCGGACGGGUGAGUAAUGCCUAGGAAGCUGCCUGGUAGUGGGGGAUAACGUCCGGAACCGGGCGCUAAUACCGCAUACUAUCAGAUGAGACUAGGUCGGAGUAGCUAGUUGGUGGGGUAAAGGCCUACAAAGGCGACGAUCCGUAACUGGUCUGGGAGGAUGAUCAGUCACACGGGAACUGAGACACGGUCAAUGCUCCUACGGGAGGCAGCAGUGGGGAAUAUUGGACAACGGGCGAAAGCCUGAUCCAGCCAGGCCGCGUGUGUGAAGAAGGUCUUCGGAUUGUAAAGCACUUUAAGUUGUGAGGCGGUACCAACAGAAUAAGCACCGGCUAACUUCGUGCCAGCAGCCGCGGUAAUUC
This 407-nucleotide ribosomal RNA is filed under the name uncultured bacterium. RNAcentral describes it as "partial 16S ribosomal RNA". It matches the Rfam family "Bacterial small subunit ribosomal RNA", at positions 30 to 526 of the family's 1533-position model. The record is from RNAcentral.